This is a long non-coding RNA of Fundulus heteroclitus (mummichog), 215 nucleotides long. RefSeq lists it as uncharacterized. The transcript has 2 exons. The record is from RefSeq and is a predicted model, not a curated record. NCBI's taxonomy places the organism in Eukaryota, Metazoa, Chordata, Actinopteri, Cyprinodontiformes, Fundulidae.
UAGAAAGGAGGAAACAGUAAUAUCUAGGUUGCGUUUUGGACAUACAAGGUUAAACAGUAAUUUAUUUAAAAUAGGAAAACAUCGAAAUGGAAGUUGUGAUUUUUGUGGUCAAGAAGAGACGGGGGGUGUUUAAAGUUAGCGUCCCGAUCCACACUCCAUUCCAGUAGAUGGCGGUAAUGCACAUCUAAAAGUUGCUUGCCAACCGCCAUAAAAAA